Molecule: ribosomal RNA, 254 nt
Filed under: uncultured bacterium
Lineage: Bacteria
Description: partial 16S ribosomal RNA
Rfam family: Bacterial small subunit ribosomal RNA
Source: RNAcentral
UACGUAGGGUGCAAGCGUUGUCCGGAAUUAUUGGGCGUAAAGAGCUCGUAGGCGGUUUGUCGCGUCUGCUGUGAAAACUGGAGGCUCAACCUCCAGCUUGCAGUGGGUACGGGCAGACUAGAGUGCGGUAGGGGAGAUUGGAAUUCCUGGUGUAGCGGUGGAAUGCGCAGAUAUCAGGAGGAACACCGAUGGCGAAGGCAGAUCUCUGGGCCGUAACUGGACGCUGAGGAGCGAAAGCGUGGGGAGCGAACAGG